Molecule: ribosomal RNA, 504 nt
Filed under: uncultured bacterium
Lineage: Bacteria
Description: bacterial SSU rRNA
Rfam family: Bacterial small subunit ribosomal RNA
Source: RNAcentral
AUUGAACGCUGGCGGCAUGCUUUACACAUGCAAGUCGAACGGUAACAGGCCUUCGGGUGCUGACGAGUGGCGAACGGGUGAGUAAUGCAUCGGAACGUGCCCAAUCGUGGGGGAUAACGUAGCGAAAGUUACGCUAAUACCGCAUAAGCCCUGAGGGGGAAAGCAGGGGAUCGCAAGACCUUGCGCGAAUGGAGCGGCCGAUGUCAGAUUAGCUAGUUGGUGGGGUAAAGGCCUACCAAGGCGACGAUCUGUAGCGGGUCUAAGAGGAUGAUCCGCCACACUGGGACUGAGACACGGCCCAGACUCCUACGGGAGGCAGCAGUGGGGAAUUUUGGACAAUGGGCACAAGCCUGAUCCAGCCAUGCCGCGUGCGGGACGAAGGCCUCGGGUUGUAAACCGCUUUCAGCCGGAAAGAAAUACGCCAAGGCUAAUAUCCUUGGUGGAUGACGGUACCGGAAGAAGAAGCACCGGCUAACUACGUGCCAGCAGCCGCGGUAAAGUAGU